GCCUGGGUGGCUCAGUUGGUUGGAGCUUCGUCCCAUACAUCAAAAGGCCUGGGUUCAAUUCCCAGUCAGGGCA
This 73-nucleotide transfer RNA is filed under the name Myotis lucifugus (little brown bat). It matches the Rfam family "tRNA". From Rfam's summary of the family: Transfer RNA (tRNA) molecules are approximately 80 nucleotides in length. Their secondary structure includes four short double-helical elements and three loops (D, anti-codon, and T loops). The record is from Rfam by way of RNAcentral. Lineage: Eukaryota; Metazoa; Chordata; Mammalia; Chiroptera; Vespertilionidae.